ACUCUGCCAUUUUAUUAUUUGAUACCACAAUUGACUGUAGUGGGGGAAAAGUUGACAAGCUAAUGAUAUGGUUUACACACAUUUUUAAAAAUUGGCAAGUAAAUAGGCUGAUCUUAUCUUAGACAAAGAAUAUAUCAGUAUAUAAGUAACACACAGCUAAAAGGGUAACAGUAAAAAUACCAGACUAUAUAUAUAUAUUUAUGGAAAAUACUGUUACCUGAGGCGCAGCUGAGGGUUACAGUGCUUUUCCUAGAGCUUAUGUUUUGACUGUAACCUGUUAAUUAAGGUAUUUUUUUUUUCACCCCGAAAAACAAUCAAGUACUGAAAGUACAUUACAACCCCUUAGUACCAGAGUAUGCAAAAGGGAAAACAUACAUAGGCCCAAAACACCCAAAAAUGUGUACCCAUAGACGACAACCCUGUAUAAGGCAAUAAGGCCUUCAGUGGUGUGAACUAUUUCUUACAAAAUAAAUUGAUUUUUUUUUUAUUUUUGAUGUGAGAAAAAGUCAGAUGUCACCUGUACUAACUUUGAUUAUAUAGCAAACAUUAGACAAAGCCGUCAGGAGGAAAGUCAUCGGAGACAUGAGGAGCCUGUAAAUCACUACAGUCCAGCCAGAGGCCCCCAAAUAGAUCUGUGCAGAUUUUGCUCAUUUUCAAACAGAGAUUCCAUUGCUUCACAACGGCCAGAACUUGGGAAUCUGUCUCAUUCUUCUGUUCAAGAAGAGAAGGGAAAGACACAGUCAAAGAAAACAUGAAAACCUGUGGACCAGCCAUAAAGCGCCAUCAUGAAAUCUCAUAUUUUUUGAAUCGCUGUAUUUCCACCGAAACAAAUUUCUUGUUUCUUGUGGAAAGUACCUUGUUUGAUAUGGAAACAUCAGAGUUAACAGAUGGAAUUCUGUAUGCUGUGGCGUUCAAAAGUGGACAGAGAACAUUCCUUCGCUUCUUUAAAUAUUGAGAGUUCUCUGGUUUUAUGGAAUACAAAGGUUUAUCCCACAUAGGUUUUGAUGGCAAUAUGUUCUGAGAUAAUGUGUUCACACAAUCUGAUGUUGACAUGGGAAAACAGUGUUAUAGAGGUGCACUGACUGAAAAGAGAAAUAAGUUGUUUGAGUAUGAAAAAACGAAUCAAUUGCAAGCGUCAGGAAAGAAGUAUUCGGCUCUUCUAAAAAAGAACAAAAACAGCAUUUCAAAUCUGAUGGAGCAUUUUCGUGCACAUGUGCAGAGAGAGCAGUUCCGGGAACACUUGACCUGUAUUGGACUGCUUGCAUGCAGUAUAAAAAAGAAGAGUUUUAAGGACAAAGAAAGGUUACUGCGAUGCAAUGUUUUCGUCUUCGAAAAGACACAUUGUUUACAUGAACAAAGCCGAAAACCUCUGCCCACAUUUAGAAAUAUUGAAAAGUCAUAAAUAUAUCUGGGAAAAUGAAUUGCUCAAUAGUGCUAUAGCCAGUAGUUCCAAUGAACAGGCCUGUGAAGAUGAUACUGAAGAGACAGAGGCAUUGGGACUAGAUGAGACGAAUAAAGAAGACCUUACCGCACAACCUGUACAAGACCAAGAUAUUAAGGGUCAUCAUUUCAACCCUGAAAGCGGAUUGUUGGAAUAUCCCAGCCUCAGCAAAGAAUGGCCUCUUCCUGAUGGUUGUGCCAGUCUGCGAGACAGCAUACAAGCACAAUCCCUAAUUUGUGACAGAAUGAACGGAAGGGAUGGUGAAGGAUUUCUGUUCACCAACCAGGGGGGCUUGGAGAAGCUGAGAGUGUGUUCGUUGCCAGCUGAAUGCAGUUGUGGAGUAAGAUGCACUUGCAUUUUAUAUCCAAUAACAUACUCAAAAAGGUAAAUAUGGGAAACUAAGACAUUAUACAUGUGUCUAAAUGGUAUUUUUUUUAAAGGGGAUCCAAACUAUCAAGUUGAGGGUUAUAUAUACUUGCGCAUUAUAUUCAGUAAAAUGCAUAGGAAAAGAAAACAAUAUAGUACAAUUGACUUGUUUUUACUGUCCAUUGUGUAGCAUAACACAU
This is a long non-coding RNA of Dreissena polymorpha, 2007 nucleotides long. RefSeq lists it as uncharacterized. The transcript has 8 exons. Lineage: Eukaryota; Metazoa; Mollusca; Bivalvia; Myida; Dreissenidae. The record is from RefSeq and is a predicted model, not a curated record.